CGCACCUCCAGGCGCCAUGCAAGCUCCAGGGGGACUCGAUACGAGCGUUUCUGAGGCCCAUGAGAACCGUCCCUCGGCGCCCAUUACUCCUCUCGACACCCCCACCGAGCUC
This 112-nucleotide non-coding RNA is filed under the name Amorphochlora amoebiformis. Lineage: Eukaryota; Cercozoa; Chlorarachniophyceae. The record is from RNAcentral.